UAGGGAAUCUUCCGCAAUGGGCGAAAGCCUGACGGAGCAACGCCGCGUGAGUGAUGAAGGUCUUCGGAUCGUAAAACUCUGUUAUUAGGGAAGAACAAAUGUGUAAGUAACUAUGCACGUCUUGACGGUACCUAAUCAGAAAGCCACGGCUAACUACGUGCCAGCAGCCGCGGUAAUACGUAGGUGGCAAGCGUUAUCCGGAAUUAUUGGGCGUAAAGCGCGCGUAGGCGGUUUUUUAAUUCUGAUGUGAAAGCCCACGGCUCAACCGUGGAGGGUCAUUGGAAACUGGAAAACUUGAGUGCAGGAGAGGAAAGUGGAAUUCCAUGUGUAGCGGUGAAAUGCGCAGAGAUAUGGAGGAACACCAGUGGCGAAGGCGACUUUCUGGUCUGUAACUGACGCUGAUGUGCGAAAGCGUGGGGAUCAAACAGG
This 429-nucleotide ribosomal RNA is filed under the name Actinomycetes bacterium. RNAcentral describes it as "Actinobacteria bacterium partial 16S ribosomal RNA". It matches the Rfam family "Bacterial small subunit ribosomal RNA", at positions 355 to 776 of the family's 1533-position model. The record is from RNAcentral. Lineage: Bacteria; Bacillati; Actinomycetota; Actinomycetes.